AGUAAUGUAAAAGGUAUGCUGAGUGUAAAUUGUAAUGGAGACACACAUUGACUUUGAGAGACUAUUAGAAGAAUUAGGAUCAGAAGCAACCAAUCUUCCUGAUAUAUCACAAGGUAUACAGUCACGUGACACUACUCACUGAUCACGUGAUCACAGGUUGGUCUGAUGGUUUAAGAUGAGCCAUAGAAUGAGUCUGUCUCAGUCUCCAGAGACGUUUGGUACAUGGCUACUGAUUAAUAAACUAAAAGAAACAAAUGAUGAUAAGGUGAUUGAUGGGGUAAUUAGUGUGGGCAUGGUAUUACGAGAUUUGAUGUAUAUUAAUCAUCAAAAUUUAA
This 335-nucleotide long non-coding RNA is filed under the name Amphimedon queenslandica. RNAcentral describes it as "uncharacterized LOC109586405". Lineage: Eukaryota; Metazoa; Porifera; Demospongiae; Haplosclerida; Niphatidae. The record is from RNAcentral.